GAUGAACGCUGGCGGCGUGCCUAAUACAUGCAAGUCGAGCGAACAGACGAGGAGCUUGUUCUUCUGACGUUAGCGGCGGACGGGUGAGUAACACGUGGAUAACCUACCUAUAAGACUGGGAUAACUUCGGGAAACCGGAGCUAAUACCGGAUAAUAUAUUGAACCGCAUGGUUCAAUAGUGAAAGACGGUUUUGCUGUCACUUAUAGAUGGAUCCGCGCCGCAUUAGCUAGUUGGUAAGGUAACGGCUUACCAAGGCAACGAUGCGUAGCCGACCUGAGAGGGUGAUCGGCCACACUGGAACUGAGACACGGUCCAGACUCCUACGGGAGGCAGCAGUAGGGAAUCUUCCGCAAUGGGCGAAAGCCUGACGGAGCAACGCCGCGUGAGUGAUGAAGGUCUUCGGAUCGUAAAACUCUGUUAUUAGGGAAGAACAAAUGUGUAAGUAACUAUGCACGUCUUGACGGUACCUAAUCAGAAAGCCACGGCUAACUACGUG
Molecule: ribosomal RNA, 497 nt
Filed under: uncultured bacterium
Lineage: Bacteria
Description: partial 16S ribosomal RNA
Rfam family: Bacterial small subunit ribosomal RNA
Source: RNAcentral